RNAcentral lists this transfer RNA (79 nucleotides) under Passer domesticus (house sparrow). RNAcentral's name for it is "tRNA-Ile". The record is from RNAcentral. Lineage: Eukaryota; Metazoa; Chordata; Aves; Passeriformes; Passeridae.
GGAAAUGUGCCUGAAGACUAAGGGUCACUAUGAUAAAGUGAACAUGGAGGUAUACCAACCCUCUCAUUUCCUACUCCCU